This 22-nucleotide microRNA is filed under the name Murid gammaherpesvirus 4 (Murine herpesvirus 68). Its description in RNAcentral is "mghv-miR-M1-9". Its record names the gene mghv-miR-M1-9. Lineage: Duplodnaviria; Heunggongvirae; Peploviricota; Herviviricetes; Herpesvirales; Orthoherpesviridae. The record is from miRBase by way of RNAcentral.
UCACAUUUGCCUGGACCUUUUU